Non-coding RNA from Myodes glareolus (Bank vole), 1285 nucleotides. Lineage: Eukaryota; Metazoa; Chordata; Mammalia; Rodentia; Cricetidae. The record is from RefSeq and is a predicted model, not a curated record.
ACAAGAAAAAGUACCAGCUCAAUCCAGGAGUUUAUACUGACGGUGACAGGAUCAAUGGAUUCCACAUAAUGCCACCAGUGUCUGGGAACAAACAGAACCUGAAAACCAAAUGAAAAGUAGUUAACACGAGAACAGAGCAUUUCUCACUCUAACUGAGACUGCUAAAGGGAAAGAGACAAUGAAUCCAAGGGAGCAGAGUGAAGGGGAAGAAGAACCCCAGCUGUCUCCUGUGUUCCUCCUCUAACUGGUUUCACAGACACAGUGAAGUGCUUGACUUCUGGAAUUCAAGGGCAGCCUACUAUCACACAGCUACAGGGGGAGAACUGUUGAAGAUCAGAUGCCUGACUGACGGUUACUCCAGGAAAAAGACCGGCAGGUACAGAAACAGAAGAGGUCAUUAAGUCUCUAUCUACUGGGGCAGUAGAGACCCAGCGCUCAGCCAUGCUGUGUUGAUUGAAUGGCAUGGGUGGGGAACUAGAAGCCAGAGAGACUCAUUUUGUCACACACGAAAGUCAGACCAACAAAUUGCAGCAGCUAUACUGCAGCAGAUAGGAGACUCCAACUGCGCGCUGCAGCCAGGCAGGAAGAUGACUUGCAGAAAACGGAGAGCAACCCACUCUUCUAAUCACGUUGAAUUUCAAAGCAUAUUCUCUUAGGAUAUCAUUGGUUAUUAACAUGUAAUGGGCUUAUUGUGCUAUUUAUUGUAUUGCUUUACCAAUUAUCUCAUGUCAAUAUAAAAAGGCUUGAAACAGUAACAAGCAUGAUUAAGUAACAAAGCUAACUGCAUUUUUAAAAGCACAACAAGAAUUUACGUACCUAUGAUGUAUGUGAGAGAAAUGAAAAACUGGUCAGAGUGUCAGAGUGACCUAAUCGCUUUCCACCUGAACCACGCUGUUUAGGCUAGACUAUUUUGGAAAACACUUCAUAUGUGACAAGGACCAUCACAGGAGCUGGUAACAACUGGGAGAGCAUUGCCUCAAGGACAGCCAAGAACUGGCCAAUUAAAAAUAUGUCCGUAGUAUGCUUCAUCUAUGUACCUCAAGGAUAGAUAAGAAAGGGCCAACCAAGAACAUACUCAUGUUCAUACUUCAUUUGCAUAAUGAUAUCAUGUUUUUAGAAUUUGCUGUCCUCAAUUAGUUCUGGGUAUGAAAAUUAGGUGAAAACUGGUGGUCCUGCAAAAUGGUCUACAAAAAGUCCUGUAAUCUCUGGAAGGGAGCUCCUCCGGCCCUCACUGCCUUGAGUGUGCUAGAUGAGUUCCGUGCCUAGGCUCGUACAAUAAACCUUG